Molecule: unclassified non-coding RNA, 360 nt
Filed under: Hevea brasiliensis (rubber tree)
Lineage: Eukaryota; Viridiplantae; Streptophyta; Magnoliopsida; Malpighiales; Euphorbiaceae
Source: RNAcentral
UUUGGGUUCAAAAUACACAAACCAUGACAGUGGAAGUUCAAGCUUCUUUGGUAAAGAAGAGUUGGCAAAGGUAAAAGUCACGUAGGAUGCCCUAAAUCUGCCCCUGCCUUCACUCCAGAAGAACCAGAAAAUAAUGGGGAAAACUUGUUCUUAAUAUGUUCAAGCAAAUAUCAUAAAGAAAUUAUGCAAUCAUGUCAGGUAAUUAGUCCUCAUAUAUUAGUUGCCUAAGUAGCUAGCUUCUUUUCGUUUCAAUUUUCCGAGUUGCAAAUUUUCAAUUUACUUUUUCUUCGUAGAGUAAUUUGAAACUAAUGAAUUUUAUGUUUAGAGGUUUGAUAUUUUGUUGUUACCUGAGCACUUGAA